AGAAUCAACGCUGGCGGCGUGCCUAACACAUGCAAGUCGAACGAGAAAGUGGGAGCAAUCCCAUGAGUAAAGUGGCGCACGGGUGAGUAACACGUGACUAACCUACCCUUGAGUGGGGGAUAACCUAGGGAAACCUGGGCUAAUACCGCAUAAUACCUACGGGUCAAAGGAGCAAUUCGCUUUAGGAGGGGGUCGCGGCAGAUUAGUUAGUUGGCGGGGUAAUGGCCCACCAAGACAGUGAUCUGUAUCCGGCCUGAGAGGGCGCACGGACACACUGGAACUGAAACACGGUCCAGACUCCUACGGGAGGCAGCAGUGGGGAAUUUGCGCAAUGGGGGAAACCCUGACGCAGCAACGCCGCGUGGAGGAUGAAGCCCCUUGGGGCGUAAACUCCUUUCGAUCGGGAAGAUAAUGACGGUACGGAAGAAGAAGCCCGGCUAACUUCGCGCCAGCAGCCGC
Molecule: ribosomal RNA, 459 nt
Filed under: uncultured bacterium
Lineage: Bacteria
Description: SSU rRNA
Rfam family: Bacterial small subunit ribosomal RNA
Source: RNAcentral